GACGAACGCUGGCGGCGUGCUUAACACAUGCAAGUCGAACGGAAAGGCCCUGCUUUUGUGGGGUGCUCGAGUGGCGAACGGGUGAGUAACACGUGAGUAACCUGCCCUUGACUUUGGGAUAACUUCAGGAAACUGGGGCUAAUACCGGAUAGGAGCUCCUGCUGCAUGGUGGGGGUUGGAAAGUUUCGGCGGUUGGGGAUGGACUCGCGGCUUAUCAGCUUGUUGGUGGGGUAGUGGCUUACCAAGGCUUUGACGGGUAGCCGGCCUGAGAGGGUGACCGGCCACAUUGGGACUGAGAUACGGCCCAGAGUCCUACGGGGGGCAGCAGGGGGGAAUAUUGCACAAUGGGGGGAAGCCUGAUGCAGCAGCGCCGCGUGCGGAAUGACGGCCUUCGGGUUGUAAACCGCUUUCGCCUGUGACGAAGCGUGAGUGACGGUAAUGGGUAAAGAAGCACCGGCUAACUACGUG
Molecule: ribosomal RNA, 468 nt
Filed under: uncultured bacterium
Lineage: Bacteria
Description: partial 16S ribosomal RNA
Rfam family: Bacterial small subunit ribosomal RNA
Source: RNAcentral